UACUUAGGGAUCUGUCCUUGAGCGGGAGUAACCAUUGGAACGAUGGCUAAUAACGCAUAACGUCUACGGACCAAAGGGGACGUUCGGCUCUCGCUCGAGGAGGAACCUAAGCGAGAUUAGCUUGUUGGUGAGGUAAAGGCUCACCAAGGCGACGAUCUCUAGCUGUUCUGAGAGGAAGAUCAGCCACACUGGGACUGAGACACGGCCCAGACUCCUACGGGAGGCAGCAGUGGGGAAUAUUGCACAAUGGGGGAAACCCGUGAUGCAGCCAUGCCGCGUGUGUGAAGAAGGCCUUCGGUU
Molecule: ribosomal RNA, 300 nt
Filed under: uncultured Glaciecola sp.
Lineage: Bacteria; Pseudomonadati; Pseudomonadota; Gammaproteobacteria; Alteromonadales; Alteromonadaceae
Description: bacterial SSU rRNA
Rfam family: Bacterial small subunit ribosomal RNA
Source: RNAcentral